RNAcentral lists this RNase P RNA (387 nucleotides) under Micrococcus sp. RNAcentral describes it as "RNase P RNA component class A". It matches the Rfam family "Bacterial RNase P class A". Rfam says of the family: Ribonuclease P (RNase P) is a ubiquitous endoribonuclease, found in archaea, bacteria and eukarya as well as chloroplasts and mitochondria. Lineage: Bacteria; Bacillati; Actinomycetota; Actinomycetes; Micrococcales; Micrococcaceae. The record is from RNAcentral.
ACGGAUCGGCAGGCGGCCGCGGCGGCGGGGCAACCCGCCGACGAGGAACGUCCGGGCACCGCAGAGCAGGAUGGUGGGUAACGCCCACUCGGGGUAACCCGCAGGCAAGUGCAACAGAAAGCAGACCGCCGUCGUCGGGAGUCUUUCCGGCGGCGGUCAGGGUGAAACGGUGGUGUAAGAGACCACCAGUGGCCUCGGUGACGAGGUCAGCUAGGUAAACCCCAUCCGGUGCAAGGCCGAACAGGAUGCGUUUGAGGGCUGCUCGCCUGAGGAUCCGGGUUGGCCGCUUGAGCCCGUCAGCAAUGGCGGGCCUAGAUAGAUGGUCGUCAUCCCGUCACGGGUAACGGUGACGGGUCACAGAACCCGGCGUACCGCCGAUCCGUCCCC